RNAcentral lists this ribosomal RNA (253 nucleotides) under uncultured bacterium. RNAcentral's name for it is "partial 16S ribosomal RNA". It matches the Rfam family "Bacterial small subunit ribosomal RNA", at positions 524 to 776 of the family's 1533-position model. The record is from RNAcentral.
UACGAAGGUGGCUAGAGUCGUUCGGAAUCACUGGGCGUAAAGCGCACGUAGGCGGAUUUGUUAGUCAGGGGUGAAAUCCCGGGGCUCAACCUCGGAACUGCCUUUGAUACUGCAGAUCUCGAGGCCGGAAGAGGUGAGUGGAAUUCCUAGUGUAGAGGUGAAAUUCGUAGAUAUUAGGAAGAACACCAGUGGCGAAGGCGGCUCACUGGUCCGGUACUGACGCUGAGGUGCGAAAGCGUGGGGAGCAAACAGG